AGAGUUUGAUCCUGGCUCAGGACGAACGCUGGCGGCGUGCUUAACACAUGCAAGUCGAACGGUGAGAUCGGGGCUUGCCCUGGUUGAUCAGUGGCGAACGGGUGAGUAACACGUGAGUAACCUGCCCCAGACUCUGGGAUAACCCCGGGAAACCGGAGCUAAUACCGGAUAUGACCUCUGCCUGCAUGGGCUGGGGGUGGAAAGUUUUUCGGUCUGGGAUGGGCUCGCGGCCUAUCAGCUUGUUGGUGAGGUAGUGGCUCACCAAGGCGACGACGGGUAGCCGGCCUGAGAGGGCGACCGGCCACACUGGGACUGAGACACGGCCCAGACUCCUACGGGAGGCAGCAGUGGGGAAUAUUGCACAAUGGGCGCAAGCCUGAUGCAGCGACGCCGCGUGAGGGAUGACGGCCUUCGGGUUGUAAACCUCUUUCAGCAGGGAAGAAGCGUGAGUGACGGUACCUGCAGAAGAAGCACCGGCUAACUACGUGCCAGCAGCCGCGGUAAUACGUAGGGUGCGAGCGUUGUCCGGAAUUAUUGGGCGUAAAGAGCUUGUAGGCGGUUUGUCGCGUCUGCUGUGAAAAUCCGGGGCUCAACCCCGGACUUGCAGUGGGUACGGGCAGACUAGAGUGUGGUAGGGGAGACUGGAAUUCCUGGUGUAGCGGUGGAAUGCGCAGAUAUCAGGAGGAACACCGAUGGCGAAAGCAGGUCUCUGGGCCACUACUGACGCUGAG
Molecule: ribosomal RNA, 731 nt
Filed under: uncultured Actinomycetes bacterium
Lineage: Bacteria; Bacillati; Actinomycetota; Actinomycetes
Description: bacterial SSU rRNA
Rfam family: Bacterial small subunit ribosomal RNA
Source: RNAcentral